ACUCCUCCCAUGGGUUGGAAUAGUUGGAAUCACUUCUCUUGCCAAAUCAAUGAGACACUAAUCAAAGAAACAGCCGAUGCAAUGGUGUCAACUGGACUCGCGAAGCUUGGAUAUCAAUACGUCAACAUCGAUGAUUGCUGGGCUGAGCACGA
Zingiber officinale is the source of this 152-nucleotide long non-coding RNA. RefSeq lists it as uncharacterized. The record is from RefSeq and is a predicted model, not a curated record. NCBI's taxonomy places the organism in Eukaryota, Viridiplantae, Streptophyta, Magnoliopsida, Zingiberales, Zingiberaceae. The transcript has 4 exons.